Molecule: ribosomal RNA, 430 nt
Filed under: Pseudomonadota bacterium
Lineage: Bacteria; Pseudomonadati; Pseudomonadota
Description: Proteobacteria bacterium partial 16S ribosomal RNA
Rfam family: Bacterial small subunit ribosomal RNA
Source: RNAcentral
UGGGGAAUAUUGGACAAUGGGGGGAACCCUGAUCCAGCCAUGCCGCGUGUGUGAAGAAGGCCUUAUGGUUGUAAAGCACUUUAAGCGAGGAGGAGGGUACUGGUAUUAAUACUACCAGCUACUGGACGUUACUCGCAGAAUAAGCACCGGCUAACUCUGUGCCAGCAGCCGCGGUAAUACAGAGGGUGCGAGCGUUAAUCGGAUUUACUGGGCGUAAAGCGUGCGUAGGCGGCGAAUUGAGUCGGAUGUGAAAUACCCGAGGUUAACUUGGGAAAUGCAUUCGGUAAUGGUUAGCUAGAGUGUGGGGGAGGAUGGUAGAAAUCCAGGUGUAGUGGUGGAAUGCGUAGAGAUCUGGAGGAAAACCGCUGGCGAAAGCAGCCCUCUUGCGUAACACUGGCGCUGGGGUUCGAAAACAUGGGGGGGAAAAAGG